RNAcentral lists this ribosomal RNA (506 nucleotides) under Sporosarcina sp. CL3.98. RNAcentral's name for it is "bacterial SSU rRNA". It matches the Rfam family "Bacterial small subunit ribosomal RNA", at positions 17 to 502 of the family's 1533-position model. The record is from RNAcentral. Lineage: Bacteria; Bacillati; Bacillota; Bacilli; Caryophanales; Caryophanaceae.
CCCUGGCUCAGGACGAACGCAGGCGGCGUGCCUAAUACAUGCAAGUCGAGCGGAAUGAUGAAGAAGCUUGCUUCUUCUGAUUUUAGCGGCGGACGGGUGAGUAACACGUGGGCAACCUACCUUGUAGAUUGGGAUAACUCCGGGAAACCGGGGCUAAUACCGAAUAAUCCAUUUUGCUUCAUGGCAAGAUGUUGAAAGGCGGCUUCGGCUGUCACUACGAGAUGGGCCCGCGGCGUAUUAGCUAGUUGGUAGGGUAAUGGCCUACCAAGGCGACGAUACGUAGCCGACCUGAGAGGGUGAUCGGCCACACUGGGACUGAGACACGGCCCAGACUCCUACGGGAGGCAGCAGUAGGGAAUCUUCCACAAUGGACGAAAGUCUGAUGGAGCAACGCCGCGUGAGUGAAGAAGGUUUUCGGAUCGUAAAACUCUGUUGUAAGGGAAGAACACGUACGAGAGUAACUGCUCGUACCUUGACGGUACCUUAUUAGAAAGCCACGGCAACUA